Molecule: non-coding RNA, 48 nt
Organism: Schistosoma rodhaini
Lineage: Eukaryota; Metazoa; Platyhelminthes; Trematoda; Strigeidida; Schistosomatidae
Source: Rfam
GGCCAGCUGACGAGUCCCAGAUAGGACGAAACGUGAGUCAAACUGGAU